Molecule: RNA transcript, 2078 nt
Organism: Pan troglodytes (chimpanzee)
Lineage: Eukaryota; Metazoa; Chordata; Mammalia; Primates; Hominidae
Gene: NPDC1
Gene name: neural proliferation, differentiation and control 1
Exons: 9
Source: RefSeq, a predicted model, not a curated record
GGCCGCCGCGGCUCCAGCCAAAGCUGCAGUCGGGGCCGGGGCCGUUCUGUGUUCCUGUAUUUGCUUUUCCCGCGAGUGGGGGUGCCCCUGCCUCUGUGGGCACACCUGUGCCUUCCUGUGCACCUGCCCAGCUCGUGAGCACCUGUCUGCGUGCGCCCGGCGCUCCUGUGUCUCUGUGCGCUCGCGAGGCUAGGCCCACACAGGUCCUCUGCCCCAUCGCGGGUGCGGGUGAGGGGCUCGGAGUCCUACCGGGAAGAGGCCAGAAGGGAGCGCAUCCUGGAGAAGCCCACCCGCGGCCCAAACCCAGCCGGACUUCUGGGAACCGCACCGGCCCCAGAGACCGCAGGUGCCGAGACACCCUGAGGCCGAGAGAGGUCCAGCGAGGCCCGGAGAGGGGACCAGAACUGGAGCAGGGGGAGGGGGCGCAGUCUGGAGCCGCCCUCCCGCCCCCUCAGGUGGAGCGCGCAGGCGCAGUCUCCGCGUGCGCGCCUCGCCGGCGCCUCCAUCCCGGAUCCUUGCUGCAGCGUCAGCGCCGCCGCCCGUGCCUUUCCUCUUCCUCCUCCUCCUCCUUGGCAUCCGCCUCCUCUUCCUCCUGCGUCCUCCCCCGCUGCCUCCGCUGCUCCCGACGCGGAGCCCGGAGCCCGCGCCGAGCCCCUGGCCUCGCGGUGCCAUGCUGCCCCGGCGGCGGCGCUGAAGGAUGGCGACGCCGCUGCCUCCGCCCUCCCCGCGGCACCUGCGGCUGCUGCGGCUGCUGCUCUCCGGCCUCGUCCUCGGCGCCGCCCUGCGUGGAGCCGCCGCCGGCCACCCGGAUGUAGCUGCCUGUCCCGGGAGCCUGGACUGUGCCCUGAAGAGGCGGGCAAGGUGUCCUCCUGGUGCACAUGCCUGUGGGCCCUGCCUUCAGCCCUUCCAGGAGGACCAGCAAGGGCUCUGUGUGCCCAGGAUGCGCCGGCCUCCAGGCGGGGGCCGGCCCCAGCCCAGACUGGAAGAUGAGAUUGACUUCCUGGCCCAGGAGCUUGCCCGGAAGGAGUCUGGACACUCAACUCCGCCCCUACCCAAGGCCCGACAGCGGCUCCCGGAGCCUGCCACCCUGGGCUUCUCGGCACGGGGGCAGGGGCUGGAGCUGGGCCUCCCCUCCACUCCAGGAACCCCCACGCCCACGCCCCACACCUCCCUGGGCUCCCCUGUGUCAUCCGACCCGGUGCACAUGUCGCCCCUGGAGCCCCGGGGAGGGCAAGGCGACGGCCUCGCCCUUGUGCUGAUCCUGGCGUUCUGUGUAGCUGGUGCAGCCGCCCUCUCCGUAGCCUCCCUCUGCUGGUGCAGGCUGCAGCGUGAGAUCCGCCUGACUCAGAAGGCCGACUACGCCACUGCGAAGGCCCCUGGCUCACCUGCAGCUCCCCGGAUCUCGCCUGGGGACCAGCGGCUGGCACACAGCGCGGAGAUGUACCACUACCAGCACCAACGGCAGCAGAUGCUGUGCCUGGAGCGGGCUGAGGUGGGCUGAGUGCCCACUUCCAGACUGGGCCACUGGCACCUCGAGGGCGUGGGGAGGACCCAGCGAUCCCCCCCCACCCAGGCAUAAAGAGCCACCCAAGGAGCUGGAUACGGCCUCCUCGGAUGAGGAGAAUGAGGACGGAGACUUCACGGUGUACGAGUGCCCGGGCCUGGCCCCGACCGGGGAAAUGGAGGUGCGCAACCCUCUGUUCGACCACGCCGCACUGUCCGCGCCCCUGCCGGCCCCCAGCUCACCGCCUGCACUGCCAUGACCUGGAGGCAGACAGACGCCCACCUGCUCCCCGACCUCAAGGCCCCCGGGGAGGGGCAGGGCCUGGAGCUUCCCACUAAAAACAUGUUUUGAUGCUGUGUGCUUUUGGCUGGGCCUCGGGCUCCAGGCCCUGGGACCCCUUGCCAGGGAGACCCCCGAACCUUUGUGCCAGGACACCUCCUGAUCCCCUGCACCUCUCCUGUUCGGUUUAGACCCCCAAACUGGAGGGGGCAUGGAGAACCGUAGAGCGCAGGAACGGGUGGGGAAUUCUAGAGACAAAAGCCAAUUAAAGUCCAUUUCAGACCUGCGGCUUCUG